GACGAACGCUGGCGGCGUGCUUAACACAUGCAAGUCGAGCGGUAAGGCCCCUUCGGGGGUACACGAGCGGCGAACGGGUGAGUAACACGUGAGCAAUCUGCCCUUCACACGGGGAUAACUCCGGGAAACCGAAGCUAAUACCCGAUACGACCACUUCAGGCAUCUGAUGGUGGUGGAAAGUUCCGGCGGUGAAGGAUGAGCUCGCGGCCUAUCAGCUUGUUGGUGGGGUAACGGCCCACCAAGGCAACGACGGGUAGCCGGCCUGAGAGGGUGACCGGCCACACUGGGACUGAGACACGGCCCAGACUCCUACGGGAGGCAGCAGUGGGGAAUAUUGGACAAUGGGCGAAAGCCUGAUCCAGCAACGCCGCGUGAGGGAUGACGGCCUUCGGGUUGUAAACCUCUUUCAGCAGGGACGAAGCGCGAGUGACGGUACCUGCAGAAGAAGCACCGGCCAACUACGUGCCAGCAGCCGCGGUAA
Molecule: ribosomal RNA, 481 nt
Filed under: uncultured bacterium
Lineage: Bacteria
Description: partial 16S ribosomal RNA
Rfam family: Bacterial small subunit ribosomal RNA
Source: RNAcentral